Long non-coding RNA from Ornithodoros turicata, 243 nucleotides. RefSeq lists it as uncharacterized. Lineage: Eukaryota; Metazoa; Arthropoda; Arachnida; Ixodida; Argasidae. The transcript is spliced from 3 exons. The record is from RefSeq and is a predicted model, not a curated record.
GCUUCCAUGAUGGCGGCGUGCGUCCGUGCGUAUUGCUGCAGUUUGAUGUACAAGUGAGAGACAUGGACGGCAGUAUAGUUUCAGGGUUCGUUAUGAAGAUGUUUGACAAGUUGCUAAGUUGAGAAGUUGUUUGAGAAAUCGCUACCAAUGGCCGAGUCCAGAACAACACUGGGAUCAGUCAAUGAAGGAUUUGCCAAGUUACAGCAGCCUCCUAUCCAUCACAAGUUUUUGGCCUGAACGCAG